CCGCCAUGGUGUGUGUGUGUGUGUGUGUGUGUGUGUGUGUGUGUGUGUGUGUGUGUGUGUGUGUGUGUGUGUGUGUGUGUGUGUGUGUGUGUGUGUGUGUGUGUGUGUAGUGCAGAUGGGUGGGUGAAGUGCAUGUGCAUAUUAACCAAGCUGUGCAUGUAGGAGUUGUUUGUUACCCCCUGAAAAAUGCUAU
Long non-coding RNA from Gadus morhua (Atlantic cod), 193 nucleotides. RefSeq lists it as uncharacterized. The transcript has 2 exons. The record is from RefSeq and is a predicted model, not a curated record. NCBI's taxonomy places the organism in Eukaryota, Metazoa, Chordata, Actinopteri, Gadiformes, Gadidae.